RNAcentral lists this ribosomal RNA (253 nucleotides) under uncultured bacterium. Its description in RNAcentral is "partial 16S ribosomal RNA". It matches the Rfam family "Bacterial small subunit ribosomal RNA", at positions 524 to 776 of the family's 1533-position model. The record is from RNAcentral.
UACGUAGGUGGCAAGCGUUACUCGGAAUUACUAGGCGUAAAGCGCAGGUAGGCGGUUUGACAAGUCCGUAAUGAAAUCUCCCGGCUUAACUGGGAGGGGUUUAGGGAUACUGUCAGGCUCGAGUGUGGUAGAGGUAACUGGAAUUCCCGGUGUAGCGGUGAAAUGCGUAGAGAUCGGGAGGAACACCUAUGGCGAAAGCAGGUUACUGGACCAAUACUGACGCUGAGCUGCGAAAGCUAGGGGAGCAAUCAGG